This 23388-nucleotide long non-coding RNA is filed under the name Panax ginseng (ginseng). Its description in RNAcentral is "long non-coding RNA (PGIN_LNC013373)". The record is from RNAcentral. Lineage: Eukaryota; Viridiplantae; Streptophyta; Magnoliopsida; Apiales; Araliaceae.
UGGGGUGCUACAAAUAGAGUACGCUAGUUAAGCUCCAUCGGAUAAGAGAAAAAAAAACUAAGCUAAGAAAGCUUGAUAGGAUAUCAAAAUGUCAUGUUCCUCUCUUCCGUUUCAGAAAAAGAGAACCCAAUUCCCUGUUCCUCUCUUUCGUUUCCCUUCUUGCUCAAAGCCUGUUCUAGUCUCGCCAAUCAUUGAAAAGGUAAAGAAAUUCAUUGCCAUGCUUUUAAAAAUGGGUUUCAUUCGGAUAUAUAUAUUUGCGCAAAAUUCGUUAAUUCAUUUUUAUGGGUCUAAUGGUAGAGUAGAUAUGGCUAAUUAUGUUUUUGAACAAAUGGGUUAUAGAGAUAUUGCAACUUGGACUAAUUUAGUUACUUCUUAUGUUAGUUUUCAUCCGAUUGAAUUGGCACGGCGGGUGUUUGAUUAAAUGCCCAGUAGAAGUGUUAUUUCUUAUAGUGCUAUGAUUGCGGGUUAUGUUUGAAGGAACAAAUUUAUGGAAGCAUUGGAGUUGUUUGGGGUGUAUGAAGAUUGAUUUUGGGAUUGAACCUGCCUGUUGGGUCAUAAUAUUUCAUAUUGGGCCGAGUGGGUUGGGCCCAUUUAUUUGAUUAAUCUAGCAGGUCAUUUCAUAUUGGGCUCGGUCAGUUGGGUCAACUUUGUUGGAUCUUUAGGAUAUUGGGUCUAUUCAUUGAACCAACCCACUAGAUAUUUUAAUAUCUACAUCUUUGACUUGUAAUGAUGAAAAGGCAUAACAGAUGACUAAGAUACGCCAUGCAUUAAUGUGGAUGGGAUUAUAGCCGGCCGGCGGCAUAAACAGUGUAGGAAAAAGGUGAUAGCCUGCAUGCAGUCGGCAGAGAUCACCGAGGAGUGGGGGGCUGUGUCAGACAGUAGUUGGUGGCAUGGUAAACCGGGUUAGAGAUCAGUAUAACAUAGCAAGGAAGUCUUCAAGCAAAAGGUACACACACACACUAACAACUGAAUUUUUUAUCUCUCUCAAUACACUAGAUAUUAUUAUCCUCCAUUGUUAACCCUUGUGAACACCUGUACUGACUCUCACGCCUGAGCUAUCCCCCGACGGUCGAAGCUGUCAAGAUUUUGGUGUUGACUGUGUUUAGUGUGCAGGAUCAGGACGUCUUACGUGAUUAGGACGUGGCAGAAGAUCUUGGCGUUAACAUUGGCGCUAGAAGGAGGGUUGUGUGCUAGUGUCAUUGAGUUUUCAAUCACAUUCAUUUAUUCUACUUCGGAAGAUGGUGAGGAGUAGAGUUGAUACACUAGAGGGGCAAGCGAUGGUUGUGAGUUCGUCGUUGCCUCGUGUUUCUGUUAAGGAUCGUCUGGGUCCUUCAAAAAGUGCUCAUGAGAGCAUGGCUUCUAAGCAUGAUUCUGGGGGUUCUCGUUCGAGAGCCCAUGGCAAAGCCAGAAGGAGGUUGAAGUUUGAUGAGAACAGAGAUCGUGAUCAAGACUGAAGGCAGAUAGAAGGUUCACCGUUUAGAACUCGCCACCGAAGUGGUCAAGAUGACAGGGCUGCCAAGUUGGCAAAGAUGGCAGAGGAGGCGGAUAAAGCUUUGGAUGUUCUUCUAAAGCAAAGAGAGGAUAUAGCCGAACAGAUACUUCGGGUUGCAGAGUUGAAGGACGAGGCAUCUACUCAUGUUCAAAUCGAGAGGCGUAGUAGGCCUAAAUAUGUGCAACAACGAGAAGGAAAGGAGCCAGAGCACUCUAUUCACGCUUCUCGAGGAUGACCUCAGGAACGAAGACGGUCAAGAAGUUGAACUCCCGAGGUGUCUAAGAAAGCACUUGUAGUAAUUGGUUCUCAUGGUCGUGGCGGUGAUAGACAGAGGGGUCGAUCGAGGGAGUAUGUACCUAAGAACUGAAGGAGAGAGCAUCAGCGUGAAUAUUCUCAUCAUGAGGAUAGAAUUGCAUGCAGGAGUAGAACCAAAAGUCCAACAAAAGCGGUGGGGUCAAAUAGAGGAGGUCGUUCUGCCCAGAAGCAGAAGGUUAUUCAGGAGAAAGAAGUCUCCUCACAACCAGAAGGUGUGGAUUUCUUAGUAAAGGAGUUGAAGGAGCUUCGGAAGCAGCUGGCUGAAGUUCAGCAGGUGAAGGACACUCCGGGAAAGAAGGCAUCCCCUUUUUCUUCGGAUAUCCUCAAGGAGAAGGCAGACACCACAAAGAAGCUGCCCUAUAUAGAAAGUUACGAUGGGUCUGGGGACCCUUACGACCAUAGCCAGGAUUUCGAUCUGCUGAUGGAUUAUUACGACUUCACCGAUGCGGCUAAGUGUCAUACAUUUGUUACGACGUUGAGGAAGGAUGCACGACAGUGGAUGGGGACCUUGCCUGCUGAUUCAGUAACAUCAUGGUCUGAGUUGUGCGACAAGUUCCAUGCUCGUUUCGGGAGCAAUCGAAGAAGAGGAAAGCCUACGGGUUCUUUAGCACAGGUCCGGCAGUUUACCAAUAAAUCCUUGGGCCAGUAUGUGAAGAGAUUCAGAGAAGCCGUUGGCCAAGUGUCCGACCUAAAUGAUCUUCAGGCUGUAGGGUUAUUUCAGAACGGGCUAGAUCUAGUGAAAUCCAAAAAGUUGGUGAAGAAGCUGAUGUUUCACCAUCCGAAGAACUUGGAAGAAGCCUUUGAUAAAGCCGAGGGUUACGUCGUGGUAGAGGAAGCUAUGAAUAGCCUGAAGCGCCCUUCUUCGGACCAUAUGAAGGAGGCAGAUACUCCUAGGGCCGAAAGCAACCAGAAGAAGACAGGGGGGGGUAUAAUGAUCGGCUUGAGAGUAGCUCAAAGAAGUACAACAACACAUGGCGACAAGGAAGUAAUCACCCACCUACUCCCACCCUGAAGGUGAAUAAGGUUUACACCAAACUAAACACGGAUAGGUCGGUGAUUCUGGAUCAGAUUAGGAACCAACCCUUCUUCGAACAACCUCGUGAUAAUUUCAAGCCAGGUCAGGGAAAUGCUCGGAAGUAUUGUGGCUAUCAUCAAGCUGCAGGUCACGACACAAAUGAAUCUUACAAUCUGAAGGACUUUGUAGAGAGAAAGGUUCAGAGCGGUAUGUUGGUUCAGUAUGUGGCCGGGAGGGACCAUCAGCAAGAGCAACAGAAUGUUGACCGUACUGUUCAGACAAUUCAAACGGUUCCACCCGUGCAACCUGCUCCAGAUCAACCGCCAAGGCACGUCAUUUAUGUAAUAAUCGGUGGGACGGCAGGGAAGUUGGUAGGAAAGAAGAGGAGGGGAUAUCUGGAUUCUGUCAUGUCUGUGGCGGGUGUUCCCCCGAAGACCGACAGACCGUUUCCUAGGACAGUCAUAUCUUUCACCGAUGCAGACUAUCCUUUAGACCACAUCGAACCUCAUGAAGGGGCAAGUAGGGUCGGUGGACGUGAAACGUAUGAUGAUAGACAACGGGUCUUCUAUGGAUAUUCUGUACGCCCAUGCUUAUCAGAGGAUGCAUCUUGAUGGGUGAAGGAUCGAAGUUGGGCAGGAGGCUCCCCUAUAUGGCUUCAUCAACGAUCCGGUCAGAGUGGCAGGGACUAUUGAGCUACCGGUCAUCUUCGGAACCGCUCUACAACAGGUAGAAAUAACGUGUAAAUUUUAUGUUGUGCAUGUAGAUUCGGCCUACAACGCCAUUUUGGGACGACCUACUUUGACUGCUCUCCAAGCAGUGACUUUCAUUCCUCACUUUAAAAUCAAGUUCCCAACAACACAUGGAGUUGGAGAGGUAGCAGGGGACUUGGAUCUGGCCAGACGAUGCUACAGAAAUGCUGUGAUAGCCUCAGGAGUAGGGGUCAGCAAGCAAAAACAAACCAUGGAAAUCGAGAUCGAGCCCUUCACUGAAAGCAGUUCGGAGCCAUCGGUUAUUCCUGCAGGAGAGACAGAGGAGAUCGAGCUGGUCCUCGGAAAGAAAGACAAAACAGUAAAGAUUGGUUUGGGUCUGCCAGAACCUCUCCGGACAAACCUUAUGGAACUUCUUCGCUGCUAUACGGAUAUUUUUUCAUGGGAGCCACAAGACAUGCCUGGAAUCAGCCGAAAGAUUGUCGAGCACAGACUAGACGUGGAUCCAUUAAAGAAACUAGUUCGGCAGAAAAGGCGGAUCUUUGCACCUGAGCGUCAGAGGAUCAUUGAUGAAGAGAUUGCCAAGCUGAUAGCUGUGGACUUCAUCUUUGAGAUCGACUACCCGGAGUGGAUGGUAAAUGUAGUGUUGGUGCAGAAGAAGAAUGGGAAAUGGCGAGUUUGCAUCGACUACAUAGACCUAAACAACGCAUGCCCAAAGGACUUUUAUCCUCUGCCUCACAUUGAUCAACUUAUUGAUGCGACUUCGGGGUAUGCACUACUAAGAUUUAUGGAUGCUUUUUCAUGUUAUCAUCAAAUAUCUAUGUGCAAGGAAGACAUUCUGAAGACAACAUUCAUCACACACCGUUCGGUGUAUGCCUAUAAGAAGAUGACCUUUGGCUUAAUCAAUAUUGGAGCCACCUAUCAAAGAAUGAUGAACUUUGUCUUCCAGAAGCAGCUCGGAAGGAAUAUGGAGGUAUACGUGGAUGAUAUGAUGUGAAGAGCAUGCUUGUCCAAAAGCACCUGGACGACCUAGAUGAAUGCUUUCAGAUUGUCCGUCAUCACAAGUUAAGGCUCAAUCCUGCAAAGUGUACCUUCGGACUCGGUGCAGGGAAGUUCCUGGGUUAUCUGAUCAGUCAAAGGGGCAUUGAGGCCAAUCUGGAGAAGAUCUAGGCUAUCCUAAACAUGAAGAUUCCUCAGUCAUUCAAAGACGUCCAACAUCUGACUGGUAGGAUUGCAGCUUUGAGGAGGUUCAUGUCCAAGUCAGCAGAGAGAUGCUUGUCGUUCUUUGAUACACUGAAGGGACCGAAGAAUGUGAAGACGUUCCAGUGGACUUCGGAGUGUGAAGACGCCUUCCAAGGCAUAAAGACAUAUCUAUCUUCGGCUCCUUUAUUGGUGAAGCCUGCUCCAUCCGAGACUUUGUAUUUAUAUCUGGCAUCCAGUUCAUUGGCAGUGGGAGCUGUCUUGGUUCGGGAGGCAGGGGGAAGCAGCAUCCGGUUUAUUACGUCAGUCAUGUUCUAAGAGAUGCUGAAACCAGGUACCCAAAUAUUGAAAAAUUUGCCUUUGCUUUGAUAAUUGCUAGUCGAAAGCUUCGGCAAUAUUUUCAAGGUCAGCUCCUGGUCGUCUACACGGACCAACCAUUGAAGAAGGUGAUGAGCAAGACAGAAGUUUCGGGGAGAUUAGCAGCAUGGACAAUGGAAUUAUCCCAAUUUUUUUAUUGAAUAUCCCCGAACUGCUAUCAAAGGUCAAGCCUUGGCCGACUUCAUGGUGGAAUGUUCGUUCUCCGAAGCAGAUGCUAAGCUGCCAGAAGCUGAAACGUCUGAUCGAGCAGUUGCAGUUCUUCAGCACAGUUAGAAUUCAUAGACGCUAUAUACAGAUGGGUCUGCUACUGCGGAUGUCAGUGGAGCAGGGAUUAUUUUGACAAGUCUGGAGGGAUUCAAGGUACAAUAGGCCAUCAGAUUUGGGUUCAGAGUAACGAACAACGAGGCCGAGUACGAAGCAGUGCUAGCAGGAGUUCGACUGGCGAAGAGUCUAGAAGUUCAGAAGCUGAUCAUUUACAGUGACUCUCAGCUAGUCGUCAAGCAAGUAUCAGGAGAUUAUGAAGCUCGUGGGACGAGGAUGGUCAAGUAUUUGACAGAGUUGAAAGACCGACUUCAGUAUUUCAUCUCUUAUGAUUUCAGGGCAUAGAGCGUAACGACAAUUCUAUUGCUGAUGCAUUGUCGAAGUUGGCCACUACGGAUGCUAACGUUUUCAAUGGGUUAGUUUAUUUGGAAGUUUUACAGCAACUGAGUAUCCAACAUGAAGCAGUGAUGUGCAUUGAACGUUCUAACUGUUGGAUGACUCCCUACAUCGAAUAUCUGGCAGAUGGCGUCCUUCCUUUGGAUCAGAUGCUGGCAAAGAAGAUCAAGUACAAAAGUGCCAACUUCGUUCUUAUUGAUGGGGAUCUUUAUCGAAGGGAAUUUUCAUCACCAUUGUUGAAGUGUCUGGUUCCAUCUGAGGCUGAGUAUGCUCUUUGGAGGUUCACGAGGGUAUUUGCGGUGACCAUAUGGCUGCUAAGUCAUUGGCCUAUAAAGUACUUCGGUAGGGGUACUACUGGCCUAUGAUCUUCAAGGAAGCUACAGAGUAUGUGAAGAAGUGUGAGAAGUGCCAGCUCAAUAGUCCAAUCCCACAUCAGCCACUAGAAGAGCUAUACUCGAUAUUAUCUCCUAUACCCUUUACUGUCUGGGGGGUAGAUAUACUGGUUCCAUUGCCGAAAGCUAAAGGUCAAGUCAGUUUUGUCAUAGUUGCUAUCGAUUACAUGACCAAAUGGGUAGAAGCGAAGCCACUUUGGUUGAUAACGGAGCAAGAAUGCUUGAAGUUCAUGAAGGAGUUCGUAGUGUUUCGUUUCAGAAUUCCUAAAGUUGUGAUAUCGGACAACGGACACCAGUUCGUGGGUUCGAAGUUUGAAGGAUUUCUGAAAGGGCUUGGAGUUCAGUACAAGAAGACUUCGGUGGCUCAUCCACAGUCGAAUGGGCAAGUUGAAGUGACCAACAGAACGUUGCUGAAUGGGAUCAAGCGUAGACUGGACGAAGCUAAAGGAAGAUGGCCAGAGGAGCUUCUCAGUGUGUUAUGGGCUUAUCAGACUAUACCGAGGACUAUCACAGGGGAUUCACCUUUCAGAUUGGCCUAUGGUACUGAUUCCUUAGUCCCAAUCGAGAUUGGAUCUCCAAGUCUUCGGGUUAGUCAGUUCAAAGAGAUCUAUAAUGAAAAAGGACUGAAGGUCAACUUGGAUCUGUUGGAAGAAGUCAGAGAGGUAGCUUUGGUUAAAUUGGCAGCUUACCAACGGAGAGUAGCCAAGCAUUACAACAAGGGGGUUAAGCUUCGUAGAUUUGAAGUGGGGGACUUCGUCCUCAGAGAAGUCGAAGCGUCUAUGCCUCAGAAUAUGGGAAAGCUGAUGCCGAACUUGGAAGGGCUGUACGAAGUAAUUGAAGUACCUAAGCCGGGAACUUAUCGGUUGAAGGCAUUGGACGGAUCCAAAAUCAAGAAUACUUGGCAUGCUGGCAGGCUUCGGAAAUAUUUUCAGUAGAGAUCGAGUCAGUUUAUCGGAAGUCUGUAAAUGGUGGUUCAUCAUCAAUAAAAGUUUCACUUUUUCACAAUUGAUCUUCUUCCAAUUAGUCCUAAGUUCACAAUGGUGUAAGGAGGACGNNNNNNNNNNNNNNNNNNNNNNNNNNNNNNNNNNNNNNNNNNNNNNNNNNNNNNNNNNNNNNNNNNNNNNNNNNNNNNNNNNNNNNNNNNNNNNNNNNNNAAACAAAUUCCAUAGUCCUUUUAAUAUUGUUUUUACCGCGAGUGGUAAACCAAUAUGCACCAAAGUAAGGAGGUAUGGUCGGACUCAUUGGCCAUUCGAUGGCAGCCUUAUUGUCAGGUGUGUCCUUAUGAAUUUGUUCUACCGCGAGUGGUAAACAAAUUUCACGAUCCUUAUAUAUUUGUUCUACCCCGCAUGGUAGACAAACGUCCUUAUAUACUUGUUUCACCCCGAGCGGUAAACAAGAUCCUGAUGGUGCAAAGAGGAUCAACUGAAUUCACUUUAAACAUAACCUGUCUCACACUUCAAAAACGAUAAGUAUACAUUACUUUAUUUUAUUCAAGUGUUCAGUUCAGUUCAUUCAGUUCAUUUCAUUUCUUAACUUAACUGUUAUAUGCCUUAUCUGAUUCAUAGUCUAAGUCAAGUUCAUUCAAGAUCACUAAUGUUGAAUUAUUGACAAGAAACGAAUCAAAACAGAAGCCAUGAUAAAGAAGGUUGAAGAUUCAUUAAUAAUCUCACUAUUCAUUCAUCCAUUCAACCAUAAUAUUAAACUAUUACAUGAAAUUAAAUUUUUUUUGAUAAAGUUCUUAAAUAACUCCCAAAAAGACAGAUAAUUUUCACAUAAGUCUUAAGAAGUCCUAAUAUUAGAAUGAAGCAGUAUCAGAUUCAGGCAUUAUCUUAAUCUUCGGAAUCGAGCAAGGUCGGAUCCACUUUGGCUGCAAUCAGUUUCUCCUUGCCUCGAUCCCUGCAGACUUCAUAACCUUCCGAAUAAAUCUUCAGGAUUUCUGUGUUGAGCUCAUCAGAUGCCCUAUAUUCCGUUUGUAUCUGCUUGCAUAGCUCUUUAGUCAGAGGAGGAUCUCGUUCCUUAAGCAUUUUGAUCUUGUCAUAAAGUCUUCGACGUUUGACUCUAUGCGCUUCCUUAUCAUCCUGAUCCUUUGCCUGAACUUCGCCAAGUUGUAUCGCCAAGCUUCGGUUGGCUGUCGUGAGUUCUUCAUUUUUGGUCUUCAAGACCAAAUUCUCUUCAACCAAGCCGACAUUCAUAUCAGUCAAUGAUUGCUGACUAACCUUGGUCGCCUUCAAUUCCUCUUCAAUUGCCUUCCGUUCGUCCUCAGACGCCUUCAGGCCCUCUUGGACUUGAGCCAGUUCUCUUCGAAGGCCCUCGUCAGUAUGAAGAAGACUUUCGUAUUAACUUCUCUCCCGAGCCAACGUCGCCUUCAGCAUGUUAUUUUCAUUUUGCAUAGCCUCCUCUUCGGCCUCAGCAUUUACGUGUCUGGGAUGUAAACGUCCGAAGACCGCAUUUGCCUGCAUAUAUUCAACAGUAUCCAAUCAGUUUCAGGCACUUAAACAGGGAUAAAAAUGUAUAAACAAAGACAAAACAGUCAAUUACCUUCGCGAUGUAGCUCAUCCCUUCGUCAAUCAGAUCCCCCAUCGAACUAUUGCCGAAUCGGUGAUCGUCAGUUUCCCGAACGAAAGCUUCGAAGAGAUGGAACGGGAAAUUGGCAUUGAACCAAGGCCAUAAAGUAGGCGACCCCAUAGCAUCAUUCUGAAAUUCUUGUGACGAGGGCCUCGGGGGGGAAGGCAUAGGCUGGUCACGAGUUGGUGAAAGGUCCAUGUAUACAUUCUUGGGGGAUGGAGACCGAGAAGGAAUGGGCUCAUGUACUGGUAAGGGAAUGGUUAUUGGGCUCGAUCGGCUAUCAGAGGGUUGUUUCCUUUUUCGUGACAGAGUGGGGAUAGGUUCGACUUGUUCCUCAUCAGAAACAUGAAUUUCAACUGGAUUUAUGGGCGAAAGAUUGGUUGAAGGAGGGGGCACUCUGAGCUCUUCAGCUGUCAGAGGUGUGACCUUGGUUCUUAACUUCUUAACUCGGAGGAGAUUUUUUCGAUCAUGAGCAGGAAAAUCAAGCAAACCUCCUCGAGGGGGGACUGGGUUGGAAGUUGAUAUAGGCUCGGGCACAGUUUCUAUUUCUAGGAUGGGCUUAGGAGAAUUUGGAGUGGAGAUGGAUCGAGGUUUUUGGAUGGCCGUCUUCUUCCGACGAGGUUGAAGAGUCUCUUCUGGUAGGGGAGGUUCAUCGAAUUCUGGUUCAUUUGUUAGAGGUUCAGCAUUGGUAGGGUUUUCUUUGGGGUAAGCUUCUAUCAGAGGAGUUUCAGUAGCUUCUGAAGAUUUUCCAGAUAGAAAUUCUUCAAACUCCUUUAUUUCUGAGGAAUUCGGUCUGAUCAAAGAUACUACAUAAAGUAAACAGUCCUAUGUCAGAAUUCGCAUCACAUAGAUUUCCAGAUUUAUGUAAGACAGAUUAAUACUUACAUUUGUGGUCAUACAACCACGCUUGCUUGGUAAGAAGUAAAUAAUUCCAUUCCUUUGAUGGAAAAUUCCCGAAGAGCUCUACCAUAUCUUUUUCUCUUUCUUCUGAGAUGUCUCCGAAGUCACCAGACACUUUUUCAUAAGUAACCCAGUUCGGCAAGGAUGCAAUUUCUGGUCCCUUAACGAAAAACCAUUUUUCGUGCCAUCCCCGGUUACUCGAAGGAGUAUUUACUAAAGAACGCCUAUCGAAUUUUUCACCUGUUUUCGGUGGUUGCUUGCUCAAAGGUUUGAACCCUUUCUCCCUAGAUUGGCCUAUUUUGUAAACGGUAAAGAAGAAGUCAAGGGUUGGUUCGACACCUACUUCAUGGCAGAAUGCAAUGAAAGUGAGGAUGUGAAUGUAGGAAUUCGGUACCAACUGGGCGAACCCAACACCGAUGAACCCUAAAAGGGUCACCAAAAAGAUAUGAAGAGGGAAUCGAACCCCCUUCUCAAGGAUGGUCAUAGGAACAACCGUCCAACCUUCUAGCCGUUGAUACAUUCUCACCCCGGAUCUAGGGGCUCUGACCAUGUGAGUAUCCGGAAUAUGAUACCGACUUCGAAUCCUUUUCAGAUCAAUUUCAGUUACGGUAGAAGGGGUGUUGGCAUGAGAAAAGCGUUCUGUACUCCUAUAGAAUUCAGAAGGAGUUGGGGGGGGGGGGGUUUGGAAGUGGGUUCUUGCUGGUUUUCGCACCUUUGGGAUUAGAGCUCGAGGAUUCUUUGUUGGGGCUUGGAUUUGGUGGAACAAUAUUAAUCGGUGUUACUAGAAGAGGUGAACCUUGCUCUGAAUCUUGGGAAGCCAUUGUUAUCAAUUUGCAGCGAGGAAGAAAGUUCGAAAGAGAGGGGAAGAGCUCAAGGGUUCAAAAUUCAAAUUGACAGGUAAAAAAUGUCAAUUUGGGUAAAAAUUACUUUUUAUACUGACGGAUUACACGAGUUACGAAGGCGGCACAUUUAAUGUCUGGCAAUGAUGGAGAAGUUGAAUGGGAAGGGUCCGGGUUAAGCUUCAGAUAUUUAUCAGCUUGGGUCUUUCCUUUGGGCUUCCAGUUUUAAUUUACCUCAUUAGUCCAAUUCCUUACCACUUGGGCCUUGAUAAAGUUUAAGUUGGGUCUCUUUUGAUUUUAUUAAAACCCUUCAUAUCAUGAGUUACCUAUAGUUUCUUAUUAAACUUUCUGUUUAAUAAAAAUCUAGGGGGCAAUGUUGGGUCAUGAUAUUUCAUAUUGGGCCUAGUGGGUUGGGCCCAUUUAUUUGAUUAAUCUAGCAGGUCAUUUCAUACUGGGCUCGUUCAGUUGGGUCAACUUUGUUGGAUCUUUAGGAUAUUGGGUCUAUUCAUUGGACCAGCCCAUUAGAUAUUUUAAUAUCUACAUCUUUGACUUGUAAUGAUGAAAAGGCAUAACAGUUGACUAAGAUACCUGCCAUGCAUUAAUGUGGAUGGGAUUAUAGCCGGCCGGCGACAUAAACAGUGUAGGAAAAAGAUGAUAGCCUGCAUGCAGUCGGCAGAGAUCACUGAGGAGUGGGGGGCUGUGUCAGACAGUAGUUGGUGGCACGGUAAACCGGGUUAGAGAUCAGUAUAACAUAGCAAGGAAGUCUUCAAGCAAAAGGUACAUACACACACUAACAACUAAAUUUUUCAUCUCUCUCAAUACACUAGAUAUUAUUGUCCUCCAUUGUUAACCCUUAUGAACAGAUGUACUGACUCUCACGCCUGAGCUAUCCCCCGGCGGUCGAAGCCGUCAAGAUUUUGGUAUUGACUGUGUUUAGUGUGCAGGAUCAGGACGUAUAACGUGAUUGUGGCAGAAGAUCUUGGCGUUAACACUGCCAUUGAGCAAUUCGGUUGUGUGGUUGAUUUUCCUGGUCGUAGUGGAAUAGUUAAAGAAGCAUUUGGGUUUAUACAUGAUAUGCCUUUUGAGGCUAAUGCUGCAAAUUGGGGUGCACUUUUUAAUGCUUGUAUGAUUUAUAAGAAUAUCAAAGUGGGCGAAUUAGCAACUAAGUGGUUAAUUGUUAAUGAGCCAUGGAACGGUGUGCUUUAUAUGGCAUUGAUGGGUUUGUAUAAUGAUGUUCGUAAAUGGGAUAAAGUGGCAAAAGUGAAAGGGGAAAUGAAAGAUAUUGGUUGUAGAAAAACCCCUGCUUGUAGCUUGAUUGAGGUGAAUGACAUCUAUUAUGAAUUUGUAGUUGGAGAUCAAUGUCACCAGUUAUGUUCCUUAUUUGGUGGAUUCUGCUCUUACUAGGAUUCGCAAAAUGAUACACAACAUAAAAUUAAAGAAAUCUAGAAUAUAGACUUCUGUGGUUAUAGAUAGUAGUAGCAUAUUAACACAUACAUGUCUCAAAUAGCUUAGUUGUUCACAUGUCAAGCUGCAUUUCAGUUCCCUGAAGAUGUCAUUCAGCAAACAGUCAACAUUUUUUAAUCAUUCAGUCAUAGGAAGGGGUAUAAAUUUGUCUACCUGUGCUACAUAGAAAUAGCCUCCAAUACACCCUCAUGUAAAUCUUUUGGCAAACUGCUCCGGAUCAUAUAAUUAAGGAUUACAUUGUAUACAGUGACUAAUAAGACAGUGGGAUAAAUGUUAAAACAAAUAAACCAACCAACCAAACUCUGACUGAGAAGAACUAUAAGCAAUGGUGUAGACUUAUGAUAAUUGCUCUUACUGCUAAGUUCAAAAUUGGGAUGAUUGAUGGAACAUAUACAAAACCAGAUGUGACUUCUCCUCUGUUAUAAUAUUGGGAAUGCUGUAAUAGCAUGGUUAUUUUUUGACUAUUAAAUGUGUCACUUGGGAUUAGUAGUGGUGUAGUGUUUCUUCCUAUUGCUAAAGAGAAAUUUCAGCACUUUGUUGAAACCAAUGCACAAAAAGUGCCUGUUACUUUGGUUCCUAGAACCACUGUAUGUAUUUUGUACAUCAGUACUAAUAAACUAUUAUUAUAUGUCCUUCCGUAGCAGUGUUUUGUUCAUUCACUUGAAUGCUCAUGUUUCAUUAAUGUACUUCUUUAUCUUCAAAUUUAUAUCCGCUUCACAAAAGAAGUAUCAUCUUUUGACAUUUUAAAAUCUAUAUGCAAAUUCCUAAGACUGAAAUAAAAUAGCAGUUUUUGUAAAACUAUUAUGCUUAUCGUCUUUUAGUUUUUUUUUCGGCUUGUUGAUGCCAAUAUAAAAAAUAAUAAUGCCAAUUUUUUAAAUUUUGUUAAAUAGCCUUCUGUAGCUUCAAUGUUACUAGAAUUUAGAAGUGCAUGACAAUCUCCUUUUAGUUAUGCAAAGCAUUUGACUAGCUUAAUUAUAACUUUAAAGCCUUUUAUGCCACCCUUGUAAUUUGUGUAAUAAAUUCUAUUAAUUGCUUUUAACAGCACCAAUGCAGGGGAGAUUCUAUUAAUUGCAUUUAACAGCACUAAUGCCUAUCUUAUGCUGGAAGAUUACAGCUGCUCAAGUCUGUAAUCUUUGCCAUUCAGGCCUAUUGGUCUGGCCUUUUCAUUCUUCCUGCUGCUACUCUCAAAGAACUUCAAUGCACAAUGAAGAGAUUUUUGUGGAAGGGUCUGACUUUACAAAGACAUGGUGCCAAGGUUGCGUGGAGUAAGAUCGUUGUGCCUUUGUCUGAAGGAGGAUUAGCCAUUAAGAAUCUUAAGGACUGGAACCGUGCCUCUUUCCUCUUGCUUUUGAAAGUUAUAAACCCUUUUUCUCUGCGGACAGCUUGGUUUAAGACUGUGCUCUUGAAGGAUAGGUCUUUUUGGUGCGCCCCUAUUCCAAAUGACUGUUCUUGGACAUUGCGUAAUGUGCUAAAAUUCAGACAUGUUGCUCUGCAGCACACUCGAUAUUGCAUUGGCAAUGGGGAAUUAACUAGCCUUUGGUUUGUUCCAUGGAGUGAUGGUAUGCCUCUAGCCUCUAACUCCUCUCAUCCUUUGAUUUCUAACUCUGGGCUGGGCCAUUCUGCUAAAGUCAGUAGCAUUAUUCAAAAUGCAAGUUGAAACCUGCCUUCUUUAACCCACCCUACUGUUAUUGAAUUUCGGCAAUCCUUUGAUUUUACUACUCCGUAUAACCCAGAUAGCCAUGAUUCAAUCUUUUGGAAUAAGUGUGGUUGCAUAGUAGCACACGGUAUUGAUUAUUGAUGCUUACGUGAGAAGUCACUCUGUUAUACUCAAUUAUUGCUACAGUAAUUGCUGCAUCAUAUCUCUCAUAUUAUUGAUUUAAUUAUUGUCACAGUAUCAUCUGCAUAAUAUUUUAUAUUAUUAAAUGAAUAAUUGAGAUGAUAAAGUUAUUAAUAUUAUUAUUUGCAAUAUUGACAAUGUCUAGAAGUUCUGUCAAUGAGAGGUUUGGUCACCUAAUUGCGCGCCAAUAGAGAGAAAUCCUUAUUGGAAAGCCCCCUCUUUCCUGGGAACGACCUGGUUGUUAAAUAUUGCGAUUUAUAAUAAUGAAUAAAUAUUGUUAAAAAUAUUAAGGAGAUUUUUAUGAAGUAUUUAUUGUAAAUUUUGCUUAUUUUAUGGACCCCCAUUUAUCUAUUUUUUAAAAUAAUCGGUAGAAGUUAUUUUUAAGGUGGGGCCCACUUGUGGAGGAAAGUCUUGGGGUGGGAUUUUAUGUUGAUCACGGGUAUUGAAAGAAUUGAAAAUCACACCAGAAUAAGAGAAUUCUUCUUCUAUAAUAUUGAGCGUAUUACUUUAGAGUUUUAGAAAGCUUUGAGCGUAGAAAACAAUAUAAGUUUUCUUCAAGAAUAUCCCCGCUAUACCAGUUGGAAUACUCUUCUUUUCAAGGUAUGGGAUGUUAUUUUUGUUCAAUAUUCGCUUGAAAUAAUAUUUUCUUCCAUACUCUUUAGAAUGUAAGUAAUAUUAUUUCGUUUCAGAUUUCGAAUUCUAUACUCGUUUUUAAAGUUUUGGCUUCUAAACUCCAUGAAAUUAGUAGAAUAUCCUUGAUAUUUGCGUUUCAUCCAGUAUCUUUUCAUGGAAAUAUUAUUCUCAGCAUUCUUGAUAAGUUUUUUAACUUUUUCAUGCCAAAGUACUAUUCACGGGGUUACUAUUCCCAAAGUACUAUUCACGGAAUACUAUUCACUCGAGUACUAUUCACCCGGGGUACUAUUUAUGAUAAAAAUUGAUUCGUUUUCGGUCUAAAUUAUUUUUGGUACAAUAUUAUUCUUGAAUUUUACUCCACAAAGUAGUAUCAUGUUGACAAUUUGGACGUUAUUGAUUUCUGAAUAAAUUAAAUUAUAAAUCUUUAAAAAUUUAUCCUUGAACUUGUUUUAUUGAAUUCUUAUAUCAUUGUCAUCGUCAUCAUGUUUAUAUUAUGUUGAAAGUCAUCUGUGGCCUGUAGUGCAUAGAUGAACUUGGUAUGAUUAUGACCAAGGAUUAUUCGGUAUAAUCAUGAUCGUAAUGUUACAAAUGAUGUGGUAAAAGUCCUCAUUGGCCCGUAGUGCAUUGAUGGACAGUUUUUGGCAUGAUCAUGACCAUUGAUGAAUACACGAAUAUCCUUGGCCCAUAGUGCAUGGAUAAUUUGUGGUCUUGAUUCUAAAGAAUAUCCUUGGUCGUAGUGUAGGGGUGAUUCGAUGAUGUGGAUUAUUUAUUAAGCUGAGUCUCAGCGAUAAAAGUGAUGAAAAACCUUUUAAAUCAUAGAAGAUAGUAGAUUUUAUGCUCUACUUGACUCUUCUAAUGGAUUGCUUGUUCCGCUGCAGUUAAACUUGAUGUUUGUUACAUUUUAUCAGUUUAACACUGUUGAAGGCUAACAAUAAAUUAUUCUGCAUUAUCUUAGUCAUAAUAUUUCUUACUAGGCUAGUUGAGCUCACCCUUUUGCUUUUAUUGUUCUCUUUAGGAAAUGAGAACGUAGCCGGGACUAGUAGGAGAACGGAGUGACGGUCCAUAUGAUAGCAUUAGUAGUCCUAACUAUUCUAUGAAAUAGUAUGAUAAUAAAUGUAUUGAGGACUCCAUUUGAGUUUGAAUACUGUCUAGAAGACAAUAUUCGAAUUAGAACUCUCAGUUUAUGUUUUGUCAUAUUUUAUACGACAGUUGUAUUAUUAAGUUGUAUUUGAAUUUUGUACCAUGUAUUUGACGACUCAAGAUGGUAAUGUAUACCUAUUUUGGGGGCUUCAGUGUUGGUAUCAAAGCUUAGGGAUAUGAUCAUUGGCUAAGAUGUGAGACAGGAACUAGGAGGGGAGAGACGGGGAAUUCCUUCGCUAGUAUGACCUACCUAAGUUUAUUUGGUAUUUAAUUGGUCAGUCAGAGUAUAGGGAUAAUAUGUGACAUGUCAAUUAACCCUUGUUUUGUGGAAGUAUUUGAAAAUGACAUCUGAGAAUGUUGAGAAUAGCAAUGGAGCACAGGAGACCGUUGAGUCACCACAGAUCAAUAAUCAGGAAAAUGUGUAUCAGGAAAGAAACAAUCCUCAUGCAAACAACAACAUCGAUCAAAUGAUGAACGAUGGAAUGUUCAGAGGCUUUAUGCAAUUCAUGCAACAUCAGGCGAGAGCGGCUCCUGUCCAAAAUGAAGGUGGAAACACUGGCAUCUCUCGGACGGUCACCGCUAAACAGUUCAAAGAGCUGGGAGCACUGGAGUUUUUUGGAGAGCCAAAACCACUUAAGGCGGAGAUGUGGAUAAAAGAGAUCAACAAGAUAUUUGAUGUCUUGGGAUGCUCCGAGGAGUAAAAGGUUCCCUUUUCCACCUUCAUGUUGCGAGCAGAGGCAGAUUACUGGUGGGAAUCUGUAAAGCGUACUCAACCUGCCGCACUGAAGAUGUCUUGGGAGAAGUUCCAAGAACUGUUCAACGACAAGUACUUUUCCGAAAGUAUUCGUCACAUGAAAGAGGUAGAGUUCAUUAAACUGGAGUAUGACCGUGUCUCAGUACAAAGCCAAGUUUGCCGAGUUGUCCUGGUUUACGUCCCAUUUGGUUGAUAAUGAGGAGAGAAUGACGUGAAUGUUUCUAAGAGGUUUGAAACCCGAGAUACGUCAAUACCUUAUCUCUCAUAAAUUGUGUUUGUAUUCAGAUGUUGUGAAUAGGGCUCAGUUAUUGGAGCGCGAUAAUGAGUCAACUCAACCAAGAGAGAGCAGUCGACAAAAUGAUAAUACCAAUGGUAGCAUUCGUCGAAGCGGUGACAACAAACGUGGAGGGAAUCAACAUGCCAGAAAUGGUAACCACUUCAGUGGUAAUCAUGGUCAAGACAAUAAGAAUGGAUAUUUCAAGAAAAAGGAGAUUCAACAAUGAUGGAAAGACGUCAGCACCAGCACUCGUUGUUAAGGAAUGAGAACGACCACCUAUCAUAUGCUUCAAAUGCGGAGGGGAGGGAUAUAUCAGUCCAAACUGUGUGCAGCAGUCCAAAAUGUGUUACAAUUGUGGAAGAGAAGGUCACCUAGCUCAAUUUUAUCAUUCAGGAAAGCCAAGUCCAGCUGGGAUGGAGGCACCAAAGGACGUUCCAAAAAAGUCAAAACUAGUAGUUCAAGGGAGAGCGUUUGUCGUAACCUCCCAGAAAGCAAGGAACCCGAACGAGGUCAUCACGGGUAAGUUUAUCAUAAACUCUAGCGAAGUCUAUACCUUAUUUGAUACCGAUUCUACCCAUUCUUUUAUUUCUCCUACUUGUGCUCAACGUUUAAAUUUGACUCCGGAGAAAUUAGACUUUGACUUAUCUGUUGAAACUCCGUUGGGAGAAACCUUCAUUACAUCCACUAUUUAUAGUCUUGUUUGGUUUAAAUUGGUACCCUCACAUUACCUAUCAAUCUUAUUUUAUUGAAAAUACUUGCAUUUGAUGUAAUUCUAGGGAUUGAUUGGUUAACUACUCAUCAUGCAAAAAUUGAUUGUUUUCAUAAGGUUGUUAGCUUUCAUAUUCCUAACCAACCUAUUAUGCGAAUUCAAGCAACCAAACCAUUAAAAUCAAUCAUUGUCAUCUCAAGCCAUAAAGCUAUUCGUUUAUUCAAAAACGGAUGUCAAGCUUUCUUAGCUCAUGUCACAGAUUUAAACAAAAUUACGUCAGUUUUGAAUGAUAUUUAUAUUGUUAAUAAAUUUCCUGAUGUAUUCCCUGAAGAACUUCCUGGCCUACCCCCAGAGCAUGAAAUUGAAUUUUGUAUCGACCUUGAACCCGGUACAAAACCCAUUUCCAAAGCCCCAUAUCGAAUGGCUCCUAUUGAACUUCAGGAGUUAAAGAUCCAACUGCAGGAAUUGUUAGACAUCGCUUUCAUUCGUCCUAGUACUUCUCCUUGGGGUGCUCCUAUUCUAUUCAUGAAAAAGAAAGAUGGGAGUAUGCGACUUUGUAUUGAUUAUCGGGAGUUGAACCAUGUCACUGUCAAAAAUAGAUACCCGUUGCCUAGCAUUGAUGACCUGUUUGACAAGUUGCAAGGCGCCAAAUUCUUUUCAAAGAUUGAUCUUCGUUCCGGAUAUCACCAAUUGAAGAUUAAACUGAUGACAUUCCAAAGACGGCUUUCAGAACUCGGUACUGACAUUAUGAAUUCCUAGUCAUGUUUUUUGGAUUGACUAAUGCUCCUGCUGCCAUCAUGGAUAUGAUGAACCGAGUAUUCAAGGAAUAUUUGGAUCACUUUGUGGUCGUUUUUAUUGAUGACAUCCUCAUAUAUUCCAAAAGUCAUGAAGAUCAUGAGCAACACUUGAGGCUGAUACUCCAAAAGCUUCGUGAAAACAAGCUUUAUGCCAAGUUGAAGAAAUGCGAGUUCUGGCUUGAGGAAGUAGCAUUCCUUGGGCACGUAGUAUCAAGUCAUGGAAUAUCUGUUGACCCGGCAAAGAUUGAAGCUAUUCAAAGCUGGGAGCAACCUAAAUCAGUGACCGAAGUAAGUAGUUUUCUCGGCUUAACUGGUUAUUAUCGGAGAUUCGUAGAAGGGUUUUCUCGAAUCGCUACUCCAUUAAAUCAGCUAACUCGAAAAGAUACAAAAUUCGAUUAGAGCGAGGAAUGUGAGAAGAGUUUUCAAGAACUCAAGAGGAGACUCAUUUCAGCACAUGUUCUGAAUAUACCAUCUGGCUCGGAGGGAUUUGUCAUCUACAGUGAUGCUUCAGGCAAAGGGUUAGGAUGUGUUCUCAUGCAACAUGGGAAAGUCAUAGCCUAUGCCUCUCUGUAACUCAAAGAAUAUGAGAGGAAUUAUCUUACUCAUGAUCUUGAGUUGGCAACUAUUAUCUUCGCACUUAAAAUUUGGAGGCAUUACUUGUAUGGGGAGAAAGUGGAGAUCUUUACGGAUCAUAAAAGCCUCAAAUAUUUCUUCACUCAAAAGGAACUCAACAUGCGACAACGAAGUUGGCUUGAACUAUUAAAAGAUUAUGAUCAUACUAUUCAAUACCAUCCUGAAAAAGCGAACGUAGUAGCUGACGCAUUGAGUAGAAGAUCAUAUGCGGGUACGACUGCGAUAUUGUCAAUGCAAAGGCCCAUUUUAUAUGACUUACAAAGGAUGGAGAUAGAGUUAAAGACUCCAGGGACCCAUGUGAUGAUGGCGAAUAUACGAGUAGAACCGACUUUAAUCGAUAAAGUUAAAGCUGCUCAAGCUACAGACCUGGAGCUGAUGCGUAUGAGGAAGAAAGUGCAAGAAGGUGCUAUGCCGGAAGCAAGAAUCGAUGAAGAAGGAAUACUUCGAGUCAACUCCAGACUUUGUGUUCCUAACGACCCUGAUUUAAAGUAUAAAAUCAUGAUGGAGGCGCACAACACACCGUUUGCAAUCCAUCCUGGGAGUACCAAAAUGUAUCGUGAUCUUCGUCAUACAUUUUGGUGGAGCAAUAUGAAGAGAGAGAUAGCGCUGUUUAUCUCAAGGUGUCUAACUUGUCAACGAGUCAAGGCGGAGCAUCAAGUACCAAAAGGUCCAUUGCAACCACUUGAAAUUCCAGAAUGGAAGUGGGAGCACAUUACCAUGGAUUUCGUUACUGGUCUUCCAAAGGUUUCUCAAGGCAUAGAUGCAAUUUGGGUCAUUGUUGAUAGAUUGACCAUGUCUGCUCAUUUCUUACCUAUACGAGAAACUUAUACACUUGAAAGUCUUGCUCGUAUGUACAUAAACAAGGUUGUAAGAUUGUAUGGUAUGCUAGUAUCUAUAGUUUCUGAUCGAGACCCAAGAUUCACAUCAAGAUUUUGGGUUAGUUUGCAAAAAGCUAUGGGCACGAAUUUAUGAUUCAGUUCGGCAUAUCAUCCUCAAACGGACGGGCAGUCGGAGAGGACUAUUCAAAUUCUUGAAGAUCUAUUAAGACUCUGUGUCCUUGACUUCAAGGGAAGUUGGGACAAGUUCUUACCAUUGGUGAAGUUUUCAUACAACAACAAUUAUCAAGCAAGUAUUGGCAUGGCUCCAUUUGAGGCGUUGUAUGGAAGAAAGUGUCGUUCUCCAGUAUGUUGGGAUGAGGUGGGUGAUGCAACGUUGUUGGGAUCGGAGUUGGUGCGUAUGACUACGGAAAAGAUUCAAACGAUCUGACAACAUAUAAAAACCUCACAAGAUCGACAAAAGAGUUAUGCUUAUCUUCAUCGAAAUGACGUGGAAUUUAAUAUUGGAGAUCAUGUGUUGUUACGUGUUGCUCCAUGGAAAGGAGUUAAGAGAUUUGGAAAGAGAGGAAAGCUUAAUCCUCGAUUCAUUGGCCCAUUUUUAAUCCUCGAUCAAGUAGGAACUAUGGCCUAUAGACUCGCUCUACCGCCAAGGAUGUCUCGUGUUUAUAACGUUUUUCACAUAUCCAUGUUACGUAAAUAUGUGGAAGACCCGAACCACAUUAUUGAGUUAGAACCGGACGAAAUAGCGGAAGAUUUAACGUAUGAGGAGGUUCCUAUUAAAAUCUUGGAUAAGAAUGAACAUAUUCUACGCUCCAAGGUUAUACCUCAAGUCAAAGUUUUGUGGAGAAACCACGAUGUUGAGGAAAUAACCUGGGAGUUAGAAUUUGAAAUGAGAUCAAGGUAUCCUCACCUCUUCGUCAUACCAGGUAUGUACCCUAAUUUCUAGGGUGAAAUUUCAUAAGAAGGGGAGGUUGUAAGACCCCAACUUUUAUGAAUAAAGAUGAAUUUUCUAUAAAUAUCAUUUUUGAAUAUUAUGGAGUGAAUUUGAUAUAAUGUUAUAGUUGUGGGUAAUAUUUAUAAAUUUUGCAAAGUACGCAAGUUGUUAUAUAAUAUUCGAUUAGUCGGGGAAUAUUCGUUUUAAUAGGGAAUAUUCGUACGACGGCACAAUCAUUGGUGGACCCCAUAACGAAAUUAUUGUCAGAGUUAGAAAACGACAAAAUUAUCUUUUUAUGAAAAUAACGGCGGAAGUUUUACCGUUAACUGUUGAAAUAACCUGUGUUAAAAGUACAGUAAUACACGUGAUUGCAUAGUAGCACACGAUAUUGAUUAGUGAUGCUUACGUGAGAAGUCACUCAGUUAUACUCAAUUAUUGCUACAGUAAUUGCUGCAUCAUAUCUCUCAUAUUAUUGAUUCAAUUAUUAUCACAAUAUCAUCUGCAUAAUAAUUUAUAUUAUUAAAUCAAUAUUUGAGACGAAAAAGUUAUUAAUAUUAUUAUUUGCAAUAUUGACAAUAUUUAGAAGUUCUAGGAGAGGUUUGGUCACCUAAUUGCGUGCCAAUAGGGAGAAAUCCUUAUUAAAAAGCCCCCUCUUUCCUGGGAACGACCUGGUUGUUAAAUAUUGCGAAUUAUAAUAAUGAAUAAAUGUUGUUAAAAAUAUUAAGGAGAUUUUUAUGAAGUAUUUGUUGUAAAUUUUGCUUAUUUUAUGGACUCCCAUUUACCUAUUUUUCAAAAUAAUCGGUCAAAGUUAUUUUUAAGGUGGGACCCACUUGUGGAGGAAAGUCUUGGGGUUGGAUUUUAUGUUGAUCACGGGUAUUGAAAGAAGAAAAAAAAGAAAGAGAUGAAAUGGAUGGUGGUGUGGUGUAUACUAAUGAUGUAGUAUUGAUGAGUGAGUUUUAUACACAUGAAUUGGAUAUAUUCGGGCUUAAUUUAUUGUUGUUCUCAAGUCUUUUAGAAUAGUUUUUAAUUGUUUGUGUCCAUUCAUGCAUGUUUUACAUUGUUUUGUAAGAUUUGGGACAAAAAUUACUUGGAUCGACGUUCGGGGUGGCUAGAUUUGCGUUUUUGGCUUGUCAUUUACACCGCAGUCACUUCAGAGACAAUUUGAGUAUUUCUAUGGACCUUAUUUCAUAACACUCAAAGAAUGAAAGUUGUAGAUCUACUUCUCCUCUUUCCGGAACAUCUUGAAUAAUCAAAAUCAGAGUUCGGACGAAAAAGUUAUGACCAUUUUCCCAAAGGACGUUGAAGUAGAAAAUGUCAGAAAAAGUGGUAGCGCCGGGGCGCUAAUUUUAGGCUUAAUUCCAGCGCCGGGGCGCUAUAAGGUAGUGUCUGAGCGUCGUUACCAGCGCUGGGGCGCUGGGGAAGAGGUUGGGUGCGGCCUGGACGCAUUUUGGGCGAAUUUUAACACCUUUUUGACUCCAAAUUGGAUUGGGUUUGUUCCUAAGCUCAAAAUUAGACUUGUAAUCUAUAAAUACUUGAUGUAAGGCAUAAAAUAAAGGGAGAUUACAUAGAUUAGACUAGAUUAAACACUCAUUUAGAUUAGAACAUAACCCUAGUUCUUAUUAGUUUUGGAGAUUGAAGCAACUUGGAGACCAUUGAAGAUCAAGAGCAAGAGCAAGAGGGGAGCAUCAGAUUUGCUGACAANNNNNNNNNNNNNNNNNNNNNNNNNNNNNNNNNNNNNNNNNNNNNNNNNNNNNNNNNNNNNNNNNNNNNNNNNNNNNNNNNNNNNNNNNNNNNNNNNNNNNNNNNNNNNNNNNNNNNNNNNNNNNNNNNNNNNNNNNNNNNNNNNNNNNNNNNNNNNNNNNNNNNNNNNNNNNNNNNNNNNNNNNNNNNNNNNNNNNNNNNNNNNNNNNNNNNNNNNNNNNNNNNNNNNNNNNNNNNNNNNNNNNNNNNNNNNNNNNNNNNNNNNNNNNNNNNNNNNNNNNNNNNNNNNNNNNNNNNNNNNNNNNNNNNNNNNNNNNNNNNNNNNNNNNNNNNNNNNNNNNNNNNNNNNNNNNNNNNNNNNNNNNNNNNNNNNNNNNNNNNNNNNNNNNNNNNNNNNNNNNNNNNNNNNNNNNNNNNNNNNNNNNNNNNNNNNNNNNNNNNNNNNNNNNNNNNNNNNNNNNNNNNNNNNNNNNNNNNNNNNNNNNNNNNNNNNNNNNNNNNNNNNNNNNNNNNNNNNNNNNNNNNNNNNNNNNNNNNNNNNNNNNNNNNNNNNNNNNNNNNNNNNNNNNNNNNNNNNNNNNNNNNNNNNNNNNNNNNNNNNNNUUUCAUUAGUAUCCCAUGUGCCUCCUCCACCAAAGUUCAAGAAUCCGGGUAAUUUUGCAAAACCAUGCCCAAUUGGAAGUCAUGUCGUCGGCAAAGCUCUUGGUAACGUAAGAGCUAGUAUAGUUGUGGAGUCAUGGUGGGAUGAAAAGGAGAAGAUAGAGGAAGAUUCCAUUAUGUUUAUUAAGCUUCAAUGCCCUAAUCUGAUCAUCGACAUAAUGGAGGAAACACCUAGUGGUUUGCCGUUCUUAAUGGGGAUCCUAUCUACAAAGAGCAUGCUAGGUGACUUCAAUUCAAGGGUUUUGCUAAUGGGAACCUCCCAAAAGAGACAUUGCUUCUAAUGGAUGGAGGGUUCCUCAAUUUUCAUAGGGGAAUUGGAUAGAGAAUUGAAGAAGUCAGGCUGAGACUAUAAAACGAGCGCUUAUUGGGAGGCAACCCAAGUUUAUUUUUUUUAUUUUUUAUUUCUAGUUUUUAUUAGGUUUUAUAUUAGCAGUUUUUGAAUUUGAAUUUUUUUAGGAUUUAAUAAAAUUGCUUCUAUCAUGGUUUUACAGGUUAUUCAAGUCAAAUUCAAGUGUGGUGCCCAAUUUGUUCUAUGUGCUUAGCCUAUUCUCCA